Molecule: unclassified non-coding RNA, 434 nt
Filed under: fungal sp.
Lineage: Eukaryota; Fungi
Description: partial internal transcribed spacer region
Rfam family: Eukaryotic small subunit ribosomal RNA (bases 1-46)
Source: RNAcentral
AAGUCGUAACAAGGUUUCCGUAGGUGAACCUGCGGAAGGAUCAUUAACACGUAUCCAACGUUAAACCCCCCCGUGAACGUACAUUCCUUCUCCGCUUACAGAAAAUUGGUUGCAAUCCCUGGUAAAUCAUCGCCAAACAGUUUUGAUUCAGGGACUUCUAACACGUAAGUGUUUAACCCAGAGGAAAGUAGACGAGAGUUCGACUAUCCCAAGGUGUUGAGUGCGCUUUCGAUUUGCAAAAAUGAACGUAAUCAGGGGGUUGUGAAAGUGUUCAACCUGAUUAUUUUUAUCUUUGGAAGUAGAAAGUGUACGAGAUGCUCUUGACCCCUUGAAACGACAGGGUGUCGCGAAAACGUGGUAAGGCAUGAUUUUACUUGUACCGAAAGGUCCAAGUACUAACUGAACAACUGUUAACAAUGGAUAUCUUGGUUCUC